RNAcentral lists this transfer RNA (72 nucleotides) under Candidatus Tremblayella phenacoccinincola. RNAcentral describes it as "Candidatus Tremblaya phenacola tRNA". It matches the Rfam family "tRNA". Rfam says of the family: Transfer RNA (tRNA) molecules are approximately 80 nucleotides in length. The record is from Rfam by way of RNAcentral. Lineage: Bacteria; Pseudomonadati; Pseudomonadota; Betaproteobacteria.
GUCUUCUUCGUCUAGUGGUUAGGACAUCGCUCUUUCAAGGCGGAAACAGGAGUUCAAUUCUCCUAGGGGACG